GAUGAACGCUGGCGGCGUGCCUAAUACAUGCAAGUCGAGCGAACUGAUAAGGAGCUUGCUCCUUUGACGUUAGCGGCGGACGGGUGAGUAACACGUGGGUAACCUACCUAUAAGACUGGAAUAACUCCGGGAAACCGGGGCUAAUGCCGGAUAACAUUUAGAACCGCAUGGUUCUAAAGUGAAAGAUGGUUUUGCUAUCACUUAUAGAUGGACCCGCGCCGUAUUAGCUAGCUGGUAAGGUAACGGCUUACCAAGGCAACGAUGCGUAGCCGACCUGAGAGGGUGAUCGGCCACACUGGAACUGAGACACGGUCCAGACUCCUACGGGAGGCAGCAGUAGGGAAUCUUCCGCAAUGGGCGAAAGCAUGACGGAGCAACGCCGCGUGAGUGAUGAAGGUCUUCGGAUCGUAAAACUCUGUUAUUAGGGAAGAACAAAUGUGUAAGUAACUGUGCACGUCUUGACGGUACCUAAUCAGAAAGCAACGGCUAACUACGUG
RNAcentral lists this ribosomal RNA (497 nucleotides) under uncultured bacterium. RNAcentral's name for it is "partial 16S ribosomal RNA". It matches the Rfam family "Bacterial small subunit ribosomal RNA", at positions 28 to 507 of the family's 1533-position model. The record is from RNAcentral.